This is a long non-coding RNA of Gadus morhua (Atlantic cod), 5874 nucleotides long. The record is from Ensembl. Lineage: Eukaryota; Metazoa; Chordata; Actinopteri; Gadiformes; Gadidae.
UGUACUCUGCUGAUUUGUGUGCGUGUGUGUGUGUUUAAUAUGUUGUACAUACUUUAGUAUGUACAACAACCACAUGAUUCAUGUUAUUUAUAAGCUACAGGGUGGACAGGGUUGCAGCUCUUAACUCUGUGACACCGGUUUCAUCUGCAUAGGCCUACACCUGUCACAAUAAUGAUCAAAUGUAGGUUCUCGUGCGGUCACUUAUCCGUGUCCGGACGUAGAUGACGAAAGCAUAACUACACUGAAAGAUAUAUAGAGCAAGUGAUAGGAGUUGAGGGUGCAGGCAGGUAGGACCCAGAUGCAGACGGGUAAAGAAAACGGCACUUUAUUUCUGCCAAAAGGCUAAGGCAAGGAGCAACGAGCAAGGGAACACAGGUAGCUACAGAGAAGACGCAGGACCAACAAACCAAAAUGACAGCACGAGGAACAAAGGAAAGACAAGGGCUUAAGUAGCAAACGCAACGAGGAACAGCUGAGACCCAUUAGGGGAGGGAGCAGUAUUCAACACAGGAGGGAAACACAGGGAAACACAUCAAAACACGACACAGACCAUGACAGCAAGGGGUCGUUUAAAAUGGAAGGGCAUGGAAGGGAUCAGAUGUUUUUAGGCAGCUCUGGGAUUUAAUUUAAUUACAUUUAUAUUGCAUUAAUACCGAAAAGUAUUUUUGAGUCUUCAAUUCCACUUCUUUUGGCCGCUGUUAUGCUUCUUAAGGGAUCAUAGCCUACUUUCUAACAAAUGUUCACAAGUGAAAACAGCAAAUCGACAAAACACUUGUCAAACAUUUGAUUUAUCCACCACUCAGGCUAGCCUCAAGAAGGAGAUCCAAGCUUUGGAGUUGAAGGCCAAUUCCCUGAAGGCACUCUACAACACUCAGCAGGAAGCGCUCGCGGACAGGAUAACGGACGCGACGUCGAACGCCACUCAAAGGGCUGCGCGCCAUUUGUCGGCACACGAGAAGCAACUUUUGAAGGCGGAGGAGUCGAACUCUGAGCAAAAAGCACAAUUUCAGCAGUUAACUAAAGACACGGAGCUGGUUUGGGAGAAAAUCCAGGGGGAAAUCAAGAGAGCCAAAAACUUAGUCCGUAUAAUCGAGGUGAUGAACCAGGAGUUAUAAUCACACCGUCGCGGCUGUUCGAGAGUGUUGAAUUAAAUAACAAAUUAUUAGUUGAUGCAGUGAGAUGCAUUAUUAUAUUCAGGGUUCGAGUUAUGACUCCAUCUCUGUGGGGGUCUCUUAAAGUUGUGGUCGGGUUACACCGAAUUCUGCGACCCACCGAAAAGUGUGGUCGCUGUUGCACAUUUUCUGCAACAUGCACGUUUGCAUUAUAACAAAAAAAUAAAUAAAACAUAAGAUCUCCCCCCACCGGUGGGUCUUUCUUUUCUUGAUACUAACAUUAAUUCUAAACAGCGUUUUACACAGUAGGCCUAGGCCUAGGCUAUAAUAGGAAAUGCUCAAAGGUAAAUCAGCGUAAUUGAACACUGACUGUAGCUUAGGGUAAAGAAGCAAUGGUGAAGGACCGUACUAAACGCCCUAUCAUUGUAUGGGUCUGUAAAAUGCUAAUCAAAUCAAAACAAAUGUAUUUAUUAAGCCCCUUGUGAAGAUCUGAAUGGCAUCUUCACUGUUUUUAAACAUGUUUUAAAAGAUUCACGUGCUCCUGUCUGGCUGGUUAGCCGUGAUAGUCCGCAGCUGUGGCUCGUGGGCUAAUUGAGCCACACCCAUUCUGGUGCUCUUUAAGAGGGCCAGAGUUUUAGACUGGGAGGCGGGAGUUGUGCAAGUGACUCGACAGUUGUGCUGUGUUUUAAGUAAAGAGAUGCUUUCUAACAACAACAAUUUGCGUGAAGAAAGCUCUUUUUCACAUUUGGUAGCAGUGGUGGGAUAUUCCUCUAGCCGAGUGGAGGGGACCCACAUUUCGAAAAACAUUGUUCGAGGAGCUUCGUGGUGGACCGCGGUGAAGAAGAGCAGGUAGACGAAGAGUCCUGCUAGGAGAGGAGAUCACUGGGGAAGUUGGACUGCUGUCCUGUGGGGUUGGCCAAAGCCUGAAGGAGGAAUAGCUCGGUAACUCCUUGUUGCUGACGUGAGCCAUGUGGGGAGCUAUUGCCAAGCCUUCGCAGAACAGCAGUGGCGGAGGACUUACUGCGAAGAGUGCAGUGUUUUAAGUAAAGAGAUGCUUUCUAACAACAACAAUUUGCGUGAAGAAAGCUCUUUUUCACACCCCUGUUGACAUGUAAAAGUAUAUGCCCUCCAUUGUCACAAUCGGUUGUAUUUACUUUGUUAUACAUAAUAUGCUGUAUGCAGUGUUGUGUGUACAGCGGCAAUAGGAUGUCCCACAUGUGACCUAGGAGAGGUCAAGUGAGCGCGCGUUUAAUAAUCGAUGGUCAGUUCCAGUCCAACAGCACUGAUGCCCCACUGUGUGUUAUUUCUACAUUCAUUAUAUUCGGCCUAGCACUGGGUAUGCACGCCUGGAUCGUUGAGAAAACCAUCUCUGCUAACAGCCCCUUUAAUAAAAAGGUAAUUGGGGGAGUUCUUAUUUUUUAUUUAUGUUUUUGUUAUGCCUCUACGCUUCAAACUCGUGCGUAUUGCAAAGAAUAUGCAACAGCGCCCCCUGGGGUUACACUUUUCGGUGGGUCGCAGAAUUCGGUGUAACACCUGUUAGUUGCGCUGAAAAAGACACCUUGUGAAGUUAUUUUUUCGUUUGGCAAGUAGCUGAUCAUUAUCGAAAAUAAGCCCCGCAGGUCGAAGCGAGAAACCUGCGUUUCGCGUCGGUGUCCGGACAGUCCGGUUCGCCCUGUCUGGGCUGGUUUUCCCGCACAGCAAAUAUCAGUGUACAUUGUACUCUAUGGGUGUACAUUUAACACUCAUUUCUGGGUAUAUAUAGGUCCAAGAGUUCAGUGUUCGCUGAACACUGUUAGAAGAGCAAAAUAUGUACUCCAAAUUUAGAGUUACAUUUGAACACUUUGAGAGUGCAAAUGUACUCUAUUAGUGGUACUUUUGGGCACUCAUUCAGUGCUUCCUUACACCUGCAGUGUAAACCUAGAACCCCAGAGAGAGAAAAUAUGUACUCCAAGUCAGUGCUUUGUAGCACUUCGCAGAGCUGAUUAUUUAAUACUUCUAGAGUGAGAAUGUACUCUGACUGGUGUACAACCAACACCUUUGAGGUGAAUUAUCAACACUUCAUGAAUGAAUAGUCUACACAUUAGAUUCUUGCUGCUGUUGUUGUUACAGUGCAUACAUAUAUAAUAUAGUUAACAUUAUAGUUAAACUUUAAUUAUUUUACAUCAAGAACCAUUUUUAGUUUUACAUUUAUAUGAUGUAACAAACAACUUGAAAAUAAAUAAAUAAAUGUGUCCCUGUCAACCAAUUAAAGGGGAAUUCCGGUGUAAAACGGAUUUGGGAUAUGUUUUGUAUGAUAAUGAGUUGAAACGUUUGUUUUGGAGCACAAAAAAACGCAUAUAGACGCUUUCUUCAGUUGGCUGUUUUUAGCCGAUUCUAUCAAAACGCUAUAAACUUGGAACAAUGGGGCAGUGGUUAUGGUAAAAACUAAAUCGCUAUUUUAAACCAUUUAAAAGGCUAGAAGUAGCCCGACACUUCUUUGGUAGUUCAAUAAGGGUAUUAACAUAUAAAACGAGGCAUUGAGAACUUUGUAAGUGUACAGAUUGUUUAUUAAAAAUAAAAUUACAUUUUAUACACACAAUACCAUCAGUAGAUCACCCGUCGACGCCAUUUUGUUUUCAAGACUCGAUAAGUAGAUUGGCAAACACAGAGAUUGUGACAUCCAUCAGCAACACACAAGCUCUGGCGGCAUGCCAUGGGACCUUUAAAAAUAAAAUAAAAAUUAUCAGGAUACAAUUACCCUGUGAAACUUCACUACACGAUCCACAGCUUCCCGGAUACUGAUUUUGACAGCUCCAUUCUUUCCACUUGGAGGUGGUGGCAGGAGGUAGACCAGCAGGAGAAGUGAGGCCAUGUCACUAUCCCAACCUGAAAAGGGAGAGCACAUACUUUGAGCAUGAAAUACACCUGAUGAAAGCACAUGACACAACAUAAAAGGUUCAAAAAGUUCUUGUCAAUAAAUAGUCAGCAUCUAAAAAGGUGGCCAAAUACAAACAGGUUAUUAUCAUAGGACCCUUUUAAAAAAAAAAAAAAGGGUCCUAUGUUCCCCAGUCUCAUACAAAGAGGGGAACAUAGGACCUGGGGAACAUAGGACCCGGGGAACAUAGGACCCGGGGUCCGGGAACAUAGGACCCGGGGAACAUAGGACCCGGGGAACAUAGGACCCGGGGAACAUAGGACCCGGGGAACAUAGACACGCUCCCACUAAAUUAAAGCCACGUGCCUCGUUAGCAUUAGCUAAAAAUGGUAACGAGGCGUUAGCUAAAUUGAAGACAUGUGCCUCAUUAGCAUUGGCCAUUAAGUUUGACGUUAGCUAAAAUCGUUAGCAUUUAUAAGUUGGUUAUCAGAUCUAAAAGACGAAGAAAUGCUGAAUAUUCUGCAUUCAGGGUUUCUGCAGGUUUGAACAAGUUAAAUUUAAGCCUCUAAUACCUUCUUAAGACCCAUUAUGGAUACAAUUUCUGACCUAUAUGAAGGACAAACGCACAACUAACUAUGAAACAUAGAAACCCUGUGCAUUAUUCACUUGGUACUUUUCUUACCUGUUUACAUUCCCGUGAAGUUCAAAAAUGUCUUCGUUCACUCGGAGCAAUUCCUUGGCGAUAUUGAUUCGAUCCUCUCUAGCCAACCGUCUCUGUCGAAACAGUUUGCCGCGUAGUGUGGAAGAGGACAAACGGUCACAUGUCUCUAGAUUCAACCAAUGAGAAGGCGCAGCGAGCCAAUGACGAAUCGAAACCUAAACCGACGUGCCGCCGGGAUAGUAGGACACUCAACCGUUGUACACUCAGGGAGUCCAUCAUCCUAAAAUAAACACUUAAAUUACUCUACACCAGCAUUAUACUUAGAGACAACACCCAAGAGUGUUUCUGGUACACCCCAAAAAAUUUACUUAGUGCCUAUUCAACACCAAAGUGUAUAAAAUCUACUCUGGUCAUGAAUACUCUGGGAUUUUAACACUUUGCGAUUUGCUGUGCGAUAAUGACCGGCAUUCUAUUAUCCCUUACUUAACGUCAAUAUUACUCUGCAUAUGGAAGGGAAAUAGCUUCAUUUGUAAUUACAAUAUUAUGCUGCUGUAUUUUCAGAGACCCCCACAGAUAUUUGAGUUUGCUUCUUUCGUGGGAGCCCGACUUCUCUCUAUGGGAGCUCAGCUCCCACUGGCUCCCACCUAACUGGAACCCUGAUUAUAUUUCAUUAGCAUAGGGGUUAGAGUGCGUGUGUUCAUCAUCGCUAAUGCGUCACUGCGUCACACACAGGAUGAUGGAGGAUGGAACCUGCAAGCCCGUGUUAGUAAGUGUCAGUCGGGGUCAGAUAUAGUCCAGGUUUCUGGCUGCUUUAUAUAAAAAAUAUAUAUAAUCAAAUUGUAAAAAGUCUUUAUUUUUACAAUAUCUGUCUGUCUUUAGAUAUACAGAUCUUGUUAACCCUCCUUAACUACAAGGGGAACAUUUUUGUAAUAUCUUGGUAUUAUCUUAUUUUGUUACUAUUUCCCACCUUGCUGUGAUGCGUUUUUUUCUUUCAUAUCAGAUUCCUGUGAUAACACAACAAACACAGAAAUACAAACUUGUAAACAAUAAGGGAAAUCUUGUAUCUGAUAAAAUUCUUUCACCAAUGUGAUUAUUGAUCCUAGAGAGUAUGCUUACAAUUUAUAAGUUUAUUUAAUAUCAUCCUUAAUCCUUUAGAAAAACGUUAUCACAUUGCAUUAUGUCUUUAAUGCUUUACUUAAUUUAGUCUUUGUUGGAGUUAUAUUGUAUUCUCCUUUUUUCUGCUUGGG